GAUAAACGCUGGCGGCGUGCAUAACACAUGCAAGUCGAACGAUGAAGAUUAAAAGAUUUCUUCGGAAUGAACUUAAUUGGAUUAGUGGCGGACGGGUGAGUAACGCGUGAGUAACCUGCCUUGUACAAGGGGAUAGCCGUUGGAAACGACGAAUAAUACCCUAUGACAUCAAAUAAUCGCAUGAUAAUUUGAUCAAAGAUUUAUCGGUAUAAGAUGGACUCGCGUCUGAUUAGCUAGUUGGUAGAGUAAAAGCCUACCAAGGCAACGAUCAGUAGCCGGCUUGAGAGAGUGUACGGCCACAUUGGGACUGAGACACGGCCCAGACUCCUACGGGAGGCAGCAGUGGGGAAUUUUGCACAAUGGGGGAAACCCUGAUGCAGCGACGCCGCGUGAUUUAGAAGGCCUUCGGGUUGUAAAAAUCUUUUGUAUGGGAAGAAAAUGACAGUACCAUACGAAUAAGAACCGGCUAAUUACGUG
Molecule: ribosomal RNA, 477 nt
Filed under: uncultured bacterium
Lineage: Bacteria
Description: partial 16S ribosomal RNA
Rfam family: Bacterial small subunit ribosomal RNA
Source: RNAcentral